AAUUCGUAUUUUUUAAACUUUUCUGGGUUUGCAAACGACGGUGGAAUGCUUCAUAAUAUGCAUACUGAACUGCCCAGCUUUCUCCGUUGUGUCUAUUUUAUUCUCUCCCGGUGGCGGCAGAAGGUCGAAGUUCUGGACCAACCUUCCAAGAGUGAUUCCGAGAAUGGGUAAGGCUAUGAUAAUCCCAGGGCAGCUCCUCCUUCCAGUGCCGAAAGGCAAGUACCUGAAGUCGUUCCCACUAGCUUCGACCUUGGACUCUUCUUCCAUGAACCUCUCCGGUCUGAACUCCUCCGGAU
RNAcentral lists this long non-coding RNA (296 nucleotides) under Zostera marina. Its description in RNAcentral is "long non-coding RNA (ZMAR_LNC004797)". The record is from RNAcentral. Lineage: Eukaryota; Viridiplantae; Streptophyta; Magnoliopsida; Alismatales; Zosteraceae.